Molecule: long non-coding RNA, 1588 nt
Organism: Scylla paramamosain (green mud crab)
Lineage: Eukaryota; Metazoa; Arthropoda; Malacostraca; Decapoda; Portunidae
Exons: 3
Source: RefSeq, a predicted model, not a curated record
GCGGACCACUACUGAAAACACCUAAAUACUGUAUGUUGUGGCGGACCACUGCUGAAAACGCCUUUAUUAAUGCCACGCGUAUGUUGAUUCACUUAAUAGUUGAGUGUUACGUAUGGAUUGCUGUGAGGAGAGUAAGUGUAGAUUCUCAAGAAGGAACAAGAAAACGAGGCGUCUGAGAAGGCUGCCGCUGCUGGGAGUACAGAUAAAAGAGGCAACAAAGCAGAAAGAAGAGAAAAAGAAUGAAUGCAAAGGUAGUGUGCCAUGUGGAGGAGGCAGCAGAGGCCGUGCAGGAAGAGGAGGAAGUUGGUGUUGAGGCAGCAGGUGAUGGUGAAGAUUGAAGGCCCUUCUACAAUGCCGCUUGCAGGAACACCAGUGCACCCGCUGUCAGAGCUGUCUGGCAUGUCUAGUCCUUCAGGAUGAGGCAAAAACCGUCCAUCACAAAAAGGAUACUUGAGAUAACUUGUUGAAGGAGGCAUGAGAGACUGAAGAAAAGAAGAACAAGAGAGAGAGAGAGAGAGAGAGAGAGAGAGAGAGAGAGAGAGAGAGAGAGAGAGAGAGAGAGAAGGCAGACAGCCAAACAGGCUAAGUACAGUUAUUAUGUGCUCAAAUUGGAGGUCUUAAAAAAAUAAAAAUAAGAAUACUACUAAUAAAAGUAGAUGUAAUAUUUUCCCUAUUUUUAACCUCUCUCAAUUUAAUACUUCCUUUAGUGUACUUACUAAACGCAGUUCCUAUGUGCUCUGUAGCAAGCACAGCCAAUAGUGUACUAAAUUCAUAUUAGGAACCAACCUCUCCCAACCCUAUCCCACUUCCCCCCACAAAAAAAAAAAAAAAAAAAAAAAAUCAGAACAGCAGUACCCUUAGAUGUUAUCACACAAGUACCUCAGCAAGGGAAGGAUGGAAUGUAUGGACAUCUUCAGCCAUACUGGAAGGAUGAAGAGUGAAGAGUUUGUUGAAAAUGUGGUAUACGGUUCUGUUCAGCAUAUGAAGUUUGCUCCUGGAUCUCAGCCCCAUAAUUUAUAGCUGAAGUUCUCGUUCUUCUUCCAAGACAAUGGUGAGUCCCUACUUUUGUAUAUGUUGUGCCAGGAUAUGCAAUGAGGCCAGUCUCAACCAAAUGAAGUCUUGAUAUCCAUGGUGUUGGUUUUGGUUUUGGAAAGAUGUCAGCAGAAGACACUCGCAGCUGAAACCAUCGUGACUGACAAGACGCGGACUUAUGCCACCUCUACAAGCACCACUUGAUAGCAACAUACCAAUGGGUGCAAGAAAAUAUUGUCUGUGUGACGUUUGAGACCUUCUCACAUAGCUCUUUAAGGAUCAAUGAUACAUAAAUUUCUUAAAGAAAGUAGAAUAAUGAACUUAAUAGCUUUACAUGCAAGCUAAUUCAGUGACUGCCUGCUUACUUGAUGUAAACAUUUGUAUUGCAAGAAGACGUAUAUUUGUUGCGCUACAAAGGAACACCCAGUAAGGAGUGGUUACGAUGACCACACUGCCCAUACAGAGAAGUAGAUACUGAGAGAGAGAGAGAGAGAGAGAGAGAGAGAGAGAGAGAGAGAGAGAGAGAGAGAGAGAGAGAGAGAGAGAGAGAGAGACU